This 503-nucleotide ribosomal RNA is filed under the name uncultured bacterium. RNAcentral describes it as "partial 16S ribosomal RNA". It matches the Rfam family "Bacterial small subunit ribosomal RNA", at positions 30 to 523 of the family's 1533-position model. The record is from RNAcentral.
AUUGAACGCUGGCGGCAGGCUUAACACAUGCAAGUCGAGCGGAGAGAGGUAGCUUGCUACUGAUCUUAGCGGCGGACGGGUGAGUAAUGCUUAGGAAUCUGCCUAUUAGUGGGGGACAACAUUUCGAAAGGAAUGCUAAUACCGCAUACGUCCUACGGGAGAAAGCAGGGGAUCUUCGGACCUUGCGCUAAUAGAUGAGCCUAAGUCGGAUUAGCUAGUUGGUGGGGUAAAGGCCUACCAAGGCGACGAUCUGUAGCGGUCUGAGAGGAUGAUCCGCCACACUGGGACUGAGACACGGCCCAGACUCCUACGGGAGGCAGCAGUGGGGAAUAUUGGACAAUGGGCGGAAGCCUGAUCCAGCCAUGCCGCGUGUGUGAAGAAGGCCUUAUGGUUGUAAAGCACUUUAAGCGAGGAGGAGGCUACUUUAGUUAAUACCUAGAGAUAGUGGACGUUACUCGCAGAAUAAGCACCGGCUAACUCCGUGCCUGCAGCAGCCGCGGUAA